This 75-nucleotide transfer RNA is filed under the name Nitrosopumilales archaeon. Its description in RNAcentral is "tRNA-Val". It matches the Rfam family "tRNA". From Rfam's summary of the family: Transfer RNA (tRNA) molecules are approximately 80 nucleotides in length. Their secondary structure includes four short double-helical elements and three loops (D, anti-codon, and T loops). Lineage: Archaea; Thermoproteati; Nitrososphaerota; Nitrososphaeria; Nitrosopumilales. RNAcentral also lists the same sequence under 3 other names. The record is from RNAcentral.
GGAUCCGUCGUCUAGCUUGGUUUGGAUGCCGCACUCACACUGCGGAGGUCAAGGGUUCGAAUCCCUUCGGAUCCA